RNAcentral lists this long non-coding RNA (920 nucleotides) under Marmota monax (woodchuck). Lineage: Eukaryota; Metazoa; Chordata; Mammalia; Rodentia; Sciuridae. The record is from RNAcentral.
CUGGGUUCUUCAGUCUCCCCAGUGCCCUUAGCUGUUAAGAUGAUGAUGACGUUGAGCUGUGGGGUCCCCAUGAGGACCCAGGGCUUCUGAGGUGCGUGGCUUUGCUUCUGGCCUGAUGGUGAGUCAGCCCUGGUUGUUUGGUGGCAAUGGUGGUAAGGGCAGCGUUGGCACAGUUAUCACAGGGCAUAAACCACAGACCACAAAACCCACCCUCACCGAGUGCUCACAGGAGGACACUCUAGCACCAGCACUCCCCGCUCACCACGAUGGACAGGCCCGGCAUGGAAGGGUGCCGAGGGCUGACCUGGGUCCAGCAAUAGGACCUUCUCUCCCCAAGACUCCUGUCCUGUCUAAGGAAGAAGAGACCAGCACUAAUGGGAUGAGGUCACCGAUCCUUUACCCUAUCAGGCUUUGGGUUCAGCUACUCCUGCGUGGCUGAUCCUAGGGACCAGAGGCCUGGAGGCCAGCUGGAGCAAUCAGCCUCUUCCUGCAGCAUUCCCAGUCGAGGUGGCCUCCAUGUUUAUGCCAAGAAGAAAACCCAGAAGAGCUGACCAGUCGAGGCUAGGCCUCCUCCCUGCCCUUGCUGGUGAGGUGGCCUCUGCAGGAGGAAGCGGGAGGAAGGUGACCCACAAGUUUGCUGCCACUUUGCUGAGAACUUCCCAUGUACCAGGCCCUCCAUCUGCCGGGGUGGAUCCUCCCAGCACUGCCGUAGGCCAGGUGGGAUGACCCCACCUCACAGCUGAAGGUUCAGAGCCUCAGAAAGGUUGAGAACUCUCCCCUGGGUCAGGCUGGCAAGGGGAGGGGCUGCAGCUCAGCUCACGCCCGACCCCUCCUUACCUGCUCCUCUGCCCUCCCUGCACCUGUGUUGAGAGUCAACACACCUGGAUCAGUGCACAGCCCAGGGCCAUCCUGAAGGUGUG